Molecule: ribosomal RNA, 301 nt
Filed under: uncultured bacterium
Lineage: Bacteria
Description: partial 16S ribosomal RNA
Rfam family: Bacterial small subunit ribosomal RNA
Source: RNAcentral
CAGUAGCCGCGGUAAUACAGAGGGUGCGAGCGUUAAUCGGAUUUACUGGGCGUAAAGCGUGCGCAGGCGGUUCGUUAAGACAGAUGUGAAAUCCCCGGGCUUAACCUGGGAACUGCAUUUGUGACUGACGGGCUAGAGUAUGGCAGAGGGGGGUAGAAUUCCACGUGUAGCAGUGAAAUGCGUAGAGAUGUGGAGGAAUACCGAUGGCGAAGGCAGCCCCCUGGGCCAAUACUGACGCUCAUGCACGAAAGCGUGGGGAGCAAACAGGAUUAGAUACCCCCGUAGUCCCUGUCUCUUAUAC